Molecule: ribosomal RNA, 411 nt
Filed under: uncultured microorganism
Description: bacterial SSU rRNA
Rfam family: Bacterial small subunit ribosomal RNA
Source: RNAcentral
GAGUUUGAUCAUGGCUCAGAUUGAACGCUGGCGGCAUGCCUUACACAUGCAAGUCGAACGGCAGCAUGAUCUAGCUUGCUAGAUUGAUGGCGAGUGGGCGAACGGGUGAGUAAUACAUCGGAACGUGCCCUGUAGUGGGGGAUAACUAGUCGAAAGAUUAGCUAAUACCGCAUACGACCUGAGGGUGAAAGUGGGGGACCGCAAGGCCUCAUGCUAUAGGAGCGGCCGAUGUCUGAUUAGCUAGUUGGUGGGGUAAAGGCCCACCAAGGCGACGAUCAGUAGCUGGUCUGAGAGGACGAUCAGCCACACUGGGGACUGAGACACGGCCCAGACUCCUACGGGAGGCAGCAGUGGGGAAUUUUGGACAAUGGGCGAAAGCCUGAUCCAGCAAUGCCGCGUGUGUGAAGAAGG